UCUCAGUGAAGAAACAUUCAUGCAUCUUACCUCCUGUCAGAGUCCCAGAGCAUGUAAAGGUGAACCCACUGGGGCUGGCCAGGGUAGAAGAGGAAAGCUUUUUCCAGAAGCAACUGUCUGAGGAAU
Bison bison bison is the source of this 126-nucleotide small nucleolar RNA. Its record names the gene SNORD22. It matches the Rfam family "Small nucleolar RNA SNORD22". Rfam says of the family: U22 is a member of the C/D class of snoRNA which contain the C (UGAUGA) and D (CUGA) box motifs. NCBI's taxonomy places the organism in Eukaryota, Metazoa, Chordata, Mammalia, Artiodactyla, Bovidae. The record is from Ensembl.